Molecule: ribosomal RNA, 596 nt
Filed under: Cuscuta cozumeliensis
Lineage: Eukaryota; Viridiplantae; Streptophyta; Magnoliopsida; Solanales; Convolvulaceae
Description: eukaryotic LSU rRNA
Rfam family: 5.8S ribosomal RNA (bases 210-365)
Source: RNAcentral
AAGGAUCAUUGUCGACCCUGUGGUAGAAUGACUCUUGUUAACUUGUACCAAUACAAGAUUCUAGUGUUGGGGAGAUCUUUUGGAUUUGGCCCUGACGAACAAAAACACCGGCGCAGCAGUGCCAAGGAAUUUCAUAAUGAGAAUGCUACCUUGCGGAGCUCACGUAUACUUCUUGUGAGGUUGGCAUCUUUUUUUUUUUUAAUGAAAACGACUCUCGGCAAUGGAUAUCUCGGCUCUUGCAUCGAUGAAGAACGUAGCGAAAUGCGAUACUUGGUGUGAAUUGCAGAAUCCCGCGAACCAUCGAAACUUUGAACGCAAGUUGCGCCUUAAGCCAUUAGGUUGAGGGCACGUUUGCUUGGGUGUCAUGCAUUAUGUCUUCCCCUUUUGUGUGUUUGAGUGGGAGUGGAUCAUGGCCUCCUGGGCCCGUCCUUGGGCGUGGUUGGCCUAAAAUAUUGUCCCUGAUGUUGUUUAUGUCUUGGCGUUCGGUGGAUGUACCAACUGUGCAUAAUGGCCAGCCCUGCUUGACCUCAUUGUGGCGUUGAGAUCCUAUGAAGCUGUCGGCGUUGGCUCUUUCAUUGCGACCCCAAGUCAGGCGA